CGAAAGGCGUAGUCGAUGGGAAACAGGUUAAUAUUCCUGUACUUGGUGUUACUGCGAAGGGGGGACGGAGAAGGCUAUGUUAGCCGGGCGACGGUUGUCCCGGUUUAAGCAUGUAGGCUGGUUAUCCAGGCAAAUCCGGAUAAUCAAGGCUGAGGUGUGAUGACGAGGCACUACGGUGCUGAAGUAACAAAUGCCCUGCUUCCAGGAAAAGCCUCUAAGCAUCAGGUAACAUCAAAUC
Molecule: ribosomal RNA, 238 nt
Filed under: Acinetobacter baumannii
Lineage: Bacteria; Pseudomonadati; Pseudomonadota; Gammaproteobacteria; Moraxellales; Moraxellaceae
Description: partial 23S ribosomal RNA
Rfam family: Bacterial large subunit ribosomal RNA
Source: RNAcentral